RNAcentral lists this ribosomal RNA (253 nucleotides) under uncultured bacterium. RNAcentral describes it as "partial 16S ribosomal RNA". It matches the Rfam family "Bacterial small subunit ribosomal RNA", at positions 524 to 776 of the family's 1533-position model. The record is from RNAcentral.
UACGAAGGGUGCAAGCGUUACUCGGAAUUACUGGGCGUAAAGCGUGCGUAGGCGGUUCGUUAAGUCUGUCGUGAAAGCCCUGGGCUCAACCUGGGAAUUGCGAUGGAUACUGGCGAGCUAGAGUACGGUAGAGGAUGGUGGAAUUCCCGGUGUAGCGGUGAAAUGCGUAGAGAUCGGGAGGAACACCCGUGGCGAAGGCGGCCAUCUGGACCAGUACUGACGCUGAGGCACGAAAGCGUGGGGAGCAAACGGG